This 499-nucleotide ribosomal RNA is filed under the name uncultured Bordetella sp. RNAcentral describes it as "bacterial SSU rRNA". It matches the Rfam family "Bacterial small subunit ribosomal RNA", at positions 384 to 876 of the family's 1533-position model. Lineage: Bacteria; Pseudomonadati; Pseudomonadota; Betaproteobacteria; Burkholderiales; Alcaligenaceae. The record is from RNAcentral.
UGAUCCAGCCAUCCCGCGUGUGCGAUGAAGSCCUUCGGGUUGUAAAGCACUUUUGGCAGGAAAGAAACGGYCSUGGHUAAUACCUGGGGCAACUGACGGUACCUGCAGAAUAAGCMCCGGCUAAYUACGUSCCAGCAGCCGCGGUAAUACGUAGGGUGCAAGCGUUAAUCGGAAUUACUGGGCGUAAAGCGUGCGCAGGCGGUUCGGAAAGAAAGAUGUGAAAUCCCAGAGCUUAACUUUGGAACUGCAUUUUUAACUACCGGGCUAGAGUGUGUCAGAGGGAGGUGGAAUUCCGCGUGUAGCAGUGAAAUGCGUAGAGAUGCGGAGGAACACCGAUGGCGAAGGCAGCCUCCUGGGAUAACACUGACGCUCAUGCACGAAAGCGUGGGGAGCAAACAGGAUUAGAUACCCUGGUAGUCCACGCCCUAAACGAUGUCAACUAGCUGUUGGGGGCUUCGGGCCUUGGUAGCGCAGCUAACGCGUGAAGUUGACCGCCUGG